Molecule: long non-coding RNA, 1848 nt
Filed under: Gallus gallus (chicken)
Lineage: Eukaryota; Metazoa; Chordata; Aves; Galliformes; Phasianidae
Source: RNAcentral
CGCUACCGAGGCGGAAGUAAGCGUUGUUGCUUCCGGAGUAGCGAUGGCGGCUUUCUCCCACCUCCCAUGCAGCGCGGCUGGGCUUCCGGUGCGAGCUGCUCCCUGCCCUGCUGUCCUCAAACUUUGGCCGUCCAGGCUGUGCCUGGCCGAUCCCCUCGUGCCUUCCUCAGCCUUCCUGUGAGCUCCAGCCACCUCCCCAUGCAGACAAGCUGCUGUCAGGGCCUCUGUCACAGAUGGGUCUGAGAACAGAAGGCUUAGCAGACUUCGGUGGAUCACACGAGGGUAUGUGAUGUCACGUCUACAAAGGAAACUUCUUCCUGGGCAGCCCCUCACACAGCGUGCAACUUCAAAGAGAGCCCACGAGAGGUCUCUGAAGCUGCUGCUAUGCAAGGAGCCCCAGCACCUAACGGCAGAGCACACCCUUCAGAGCCUCCAGAGAAAGCCCUUGGAAGAAGUGGGCCCAGCAGUACAGAGAAACCAUGCCACCUCUUUGGUUUGUGUCCACUUCCAGCCGUCCAUUGCCACCUCUGAGGAGUUCAGCAGUGUCUGCUGCAGACUGGAUCACAGCAACCUGAAAUCAGCGCAUCCUCCUCUGGUGGUGGAUGGUAUUCGUAGAUGUAUGAAUAUCUACCUGUGAGCCUUAAAUCAGAAGUAACUGCUACACUAAUUUGACUGCUCUGAUCUUUGAAUAAAGGAAAGCUGUAGUGUCUUUGGCCAACAUUGUUCCCUGAACCCUGAGGUGCUUCCUCCCAGUUUGUGAGUAUAGAUGUGAGGUAAAAAUAGCUAUGGGCACAUUUGAUGGACAAAGUCUUCCUUAGAAGACAUGGGUACAGAAGAAGAGAUUCUGGAGGAGUUGAGGUGCCCGAGUCCAGACUGCCACAGAUCCCACCUCAGUCUUGCUACAAUGGCACUGAACUUUCACAGGUCCACAACUUUUGAUUUUAAAGGUUUCUAAAUGAUUGAUUGAUUGAUUGAUAAUUAUUAGAGACUUCUCAGUAAUUAUUGGAUGAAAGCUCUCUGCACGCUGAACUGGGGAAUAUAUCUCGCUUCUGUUAGGCCUUGGCGUGAGCAGGAUGCUAAACUUCUUAGAUCUGAACUAACUCCAAACGUGUUCAAGAGUGGCCCAAACUCUGUAUGUUUACAGAAUCAUAGAAUGGCUGUGGUUGACAGGGACCUCUGGGCCCAUCUGGUCCAACCCCUGCUCAAGCAGGGAUGCUCAGAGAAGGUCCUCGGCAACCCGGCAUGGCUUUCUCCUUUUCUUGCGCUGGUGAAGGUCCUCACAUGGGCCCUCUGCCUUCUCAUGGUCUUCUGGGAUGAGAAGCACGAGCCUGCCUGAAUUGUUGUGACAGCCACAGCAGCAGAGCCCUGCCUUGGGGUUUCACUGCACAGAGAGAGGGAUGGAGCCUUGGGAGGGUCUCCUCUCAUAGCUUCUCUUGGAAAGAAUGAACGAUUCAUUCAUGAGAGCUUGUAUAGAGAAGGAAGCACCAAUAAAAUUCAGUGGUAUAGCCACUUGUCUGUAAGUGGGAAUUUCUGCAUUCCAGGCCCUGUUUCCAUGAUUGUGAACCAAAGCACCAUCAGAUGAGGGAAAUAAAUAAGUAAGUAAAUAAAUAAAUAAAAGCAACAACAAAAUCCCAAGUCUUUCACCUUCCUAUGCCUGCUCUAAUCAGACCAGCUCAUGACCAAAGACUGCUGUCUUCCUGUGGAACACUGAGCCUUGUACCUCUUGGUGCACCUCGUGCCACCAUGGACGCGCCCUUGGUUAUUCCUCUGCUGAGCAAUUUGGCUGUUGCAACUCUUAGGGAGAGAUUCUGAAUUGCAUGGGUAACAUGAAAAGCAGGAAAAUUCACC